Molecule: long non-coding RNA, 434 nt
Filed under: Zostera marina
Lineage: Eukaryota; Viridiplantae; Streptophyta; Magnoliopsida; Alismatales; Zosteraceae
Description: long non-coding RNA (ZMAR_LNC001059)
Source: RNAcentral
AAGCGACAAGAUGGAUUGAGAUCGUUAAGGCCAAAGCGAAAGAACGAUCACUAGUGUAUCAAGGCAGAAUGCGACAAGAUACUUGGACUCACUAUUAGAGUCUUAUUCUGGCCAAAGCGACAGAAUAAUACCUGCAAAAAAGAAAACAUUCUGGCCAAAGCGACAAAAUAAUACCUGCAAAAAAGAAAACAUCCUGCAAAACAACUAGAUCAGUCUAAAAACGCAUAUGACUAUUGACCGAAAAUACCUCUUGCGAUAUUCUUCUCCUUACUUUAGCCAAUCCUCGGUGAAUCUGGCCGAAGUGACAGACUCACCGUGCUCAUGUUUGACGACUUCUGGCCAGAGCGACAGAAGUGUCGGGAGAGCUUGUGAUACUCCCCCCUGAGGUUUGACAAUUUCCGGCCGGAGCGACAGAAAAGUCGGGAGAGCUUGUG